RNAcentral lists this ribosomal RNA (389 nucleotides) under Syndiniales sp. RNAcentral's name for it is "partial small subunit ribosomal RNA". It matches the Rfam family "Eukaryotic small subunit ribosomal RNA", at positions 582 to 975 of the family's 1831-position model. The record is from RNAcentral. Lineage: Eukaryota; Dinophyceae; Syndiniales.
AUUCCAGCUCCAAUAGCGUAUAUUAGAGUUGUUGCGGUUAAAAAGCUCGUAGUUGGAUUUCUGUUGAGGUUGGGCGGUCCGCACUACGUGCGAGUAUCUGCUUCGGCCUUGGCAUCCUCUCGGAAAACGCUACUGUGCUUGAUUGCAUGGUGCGGGGUUCGGGACUUUUACUUUGAGGAAAUUAGAGUGUUCACGGCAGGCAAUCGCCCUGAAUAUAUUAGCAUGGAAUAAUAAUAUAGGAUCUGAUGCCUAUUUUGUUGGUUUCUAGGCGUGAGAUAAUGAUUAAUAGGGACAAUUGGGGGGAUUCGUAUUAUGGCGUCAGAGGUGGAAUUCUUGGAUUGCCAUACGACGAACUACUGCGAAAGCAUUUCUCAGGGAUGUUUUCAUCA